UACGGAGGGUCCAAGCGUUAUCCGGAUUUAUUGGGUUUAAAGGGUGCGUAGGCGGCCUAUUAAGUCAGGGGUGAAAGACGGUAGCUUAACUAUCGCAGUGCCUUUGAUACUGAUAGGCUUGAAUGUACUUGAGGUAGGCGGAAUGUGACAAGUAGCGGUGAAAUGCAUAGAUAUGUCACAGAACACCAAUUGCGAAGGCAGCUUACUAAAGUAUGAUUGACGCUGAGGCACGAAAGCGUGGGGAUCAAACAGG
Molecule: ribosomal RNA, 253 nt
Filed under: uncultured bacterium
Lineage: Bacteria
Description: partial 16S ribosomal RNA
Rfam family: Bacterial small subunit ribosomal RNA
Source: RNAcentral